UUGACUGAGUGGCGGACGGGUGAGUAACUCGUGGGUAACCUGCCUCACACUGGGGGAUAACAGUUAGAAAUGACUGCUAAUACCGCAUAAGACCACGGAGCUGCAUGGCUCUGAGGUAAAAACUCCGGUGGUGUGAGAUGGACCCGCGUCUGAUUAGCUAGUUGGUAGGGUAACGGCCUACCAAGGCGACGAUCAGUAGCCGACCUGAGAGGGUGACCGGCCACAUUGGGACUGAGACACGGCCCAAACUCCUACGGGAGGUUGCAGUGGGGAAUAUUGCACAAUGGGGGAAACCCUGAUGCAGCAACGCCGCGUGAGUGAAGAAGUAUUUCGGUAUGUAAAGCUCUAUCAGCAGGGAAGAAAAUGACGGUACCUGACUAAGAAGCCCCGGCUAACUACGUGCCAGCAGCCGCGGUAAUACGUAGGGGGCAAGCGUUAUCCGGAUUUACUGGGUGUAAAGGGAGCGUAGACGGUACUGCAAGUCUGGAGUGAAAACCCGGGGCUCAACCCCGGGACUGCUUUGGAAACUGUGGAACUGGAGUGCAGGAGAGGUGAGUGGAAUUCCUAGCGUAGCGGUGAAAUGCGUAGAUAUCAGGAGGACACCAGUGGCCGAAGGCGACUCACUGACUGUAACUGACGUUGAGGCUCGAAAGCGUGGCGAGCAACAGGAUAG
Molecule: ribosomal RNA, 673 nt
Filed under: uncultured bacterium
Lineage: Bacteria
Description: bacterial SSU rRNA
Rfam family: Bacterial small subunit ribosomal RNA
Source: RNAcentral